UUGAUUCUGAAAAACAAAACAUGGAAAUGGAUGUCAAAGCACAUUAAUAUUCUCUAACACUGUGCAAUAUUCGGGUAAAUUUGACUAUACAUUUAUGACAAUGCUGAGAACAAAGUUGCUUUGUUAAAUGUAAAGAAAGAAAAUAUAGCGUGACGAAAAUCCAAAGUUAAACUGGAUCUGUCAAUCUCACCCUGAGCAAAGAGUCCCAGUAUCACCAGCAGUAAAACAUUUGACACCAUCAUAUUGCUGCCUGUGUCAGUGUCUGUAAAAGGACUGGUCACUCACUGAUCAGUACUGGGGGUCUUAAAGUGUGUAGACCAGUGAGGCAGAACACAUAUGCAAAGCACCUUCCUCUAUACAAAUCCUGUCACACACAGUUAGAGGAGCUCUGAUGUGUGAACAGCAGUGGUUCUAUAGAGGGCUGGGACAUGUUGACUAUUCAUCGCUAAUUUUAGCUGUUGUGAUGCAAGGACUUCAUGCCCCACCCAGCUGUGCUCGCUUUUAUAUCUUGGCACUCUAAAAAAGAUCUGUUAAUAUCCAACACACAGCUUUUGUGUUACUAAUUUUCGUUACAAAUAGGAUAUACAAUUUAUGUGUUAGAAAGUGAGACUUCUUAACACAGACUGAGUUAAAAUUACACAAAACGUGUUCUGAAUUAGACAUGCAACCGGCCUUAUUUAGACAUCAAUCUCUUGCUGUUUCAUAGGUAUGAGGAAUGCUGCCCCACCAAGGCAUAACUAGGGGAGAUGGCAUAGCAGUCAUCCCAAUAUAUGAACAGCUAUCUGAGAAAUGGCACACAUACAUGUUCCCACUUUCCAGCAUGAAUGAGCGCAAACUUAGCUAAACCUAGACUAACCCUGCAUUUAUAUUAUUAAUAAAAUUAAAUUAAAUAAAUACUCCAAAAUGGAGUAUUCAAUACCCCUAAAGAGUAGGUAAGUUAAAUGCAUACUUUUUUUAAUUCCAUAAAAUGAUAAAAUCUAAUUGUUUUCAGAAAACUCAACUAGAUUCUAGAAGAAGUCAUCCUUUUUCCCAGGUAUUUAUGCAAAAAAUGUUUGUGAAUUUUUAUCAUAACUGUGUGUGACAGGAUUUGUAUAGAGGAAGGGCCUUUGCAUACCUGUCCUGCCUCACUGCUCCACACACUUUAAGACCCCCAGUACUGAUCAGCGACUGUCCAGUCCUUUCACAGGCACUGACACAGGCAGCAUUAUGAUGAUGUCAAAUGUUUUACUGCUGGUGAUACUGGGACUCUUUGCUCAGGAAUCAAUGGCAAAUAUAGUGCUGACUCAGGAUCCAUCAGCUCAGUCUGUUCAGCUAUUUACAUGAAACUGUAGUGGAUCCCAAACAUGAUAGUGGUGGAGGUUUCCUAACAAGUUCAUACGUCAAUUGAAAUCAGAAUGAGUAAGCAGCUAUAUGCUGAAGAUUUAUUUUUCAGUAGUCCACUAUAUUACAGCUACAGUAGGCUAUGUGUAACAAUGUAUUGUUAUUUCGUAUGCAAGGGAUGUGUCAUGGUUCAGUGUUUCUGUUUCUGUUUUUCCUUUUUGUGCCACCUGAUGGAGGCACUUCAGUUUUUAAUUUCUGUUCAUUCCCUCGUUGGUUUCCCAUGUGUUAAUUGUAUUAUUGUUGAGAGAGAGAGAAAGAGAGAGAGAGAGAGAGAGAGACACACACACACACACACAGAAACGGCCUGAGGGCUAGAAAUUGUUUGCAGGGUUGAGUAAUAAAAUCUCAUGUGCAUCUCACAACUCUUUCUUGUGAUAUUGUGUAUACGCAUUAGUGUGCUUUUUAUAUUUUUUAAUGAUACUUUUGAUAUGAUAUUUUUUAAUACAAAUGAUCUAAAUUAUUGUUGAAAUGCUUAUGACUCAUAAAAAUGUUGCCAGAAUUGUUUAUUUGUUUAGAUAAUUGCUUUUAAUAAAAAGCUUUUGUCUUA
This is a long non-coding RNA of Anguilla rostrata (American eel), 1927 nucleotides long. RefSeq lists it as uncharacterized. The record is from RefSeq and is a predicted model, not a curated record. The transcript is spliced from 2 exons. NCBI's taxonomy places the organism in Eukaryota, Metazoa, Chordata, Actinopteri, Anguilliformes, Anguillidae.